ACUAUUUUGGCAGACAAGUGCACUAGAUUUAGAAUCUAUAAAUGUAAGUUUUACUUACAGGUAGUA
This 66-nucleotide transfer RNA is filed under the name Apicotermitinae gen. A sp. TB-2017. RNAcentral's name for it is "tRNA-Leu". It matches the Rfam family "tRNA". From Rfam's summary of the family: Transfer RNA (tRNA) molecules are approximately 80 nucleotides in length. Their secondary structure includes four short double-helical elements and three loops (D, anti-codon, and T loops). The record is from RNAcentral. Lineage: Eukaryota; Metazoa; Arthropoda; Insecta; Blattodea; Termitidae.